Long non-coding RNA from Xiphophorus hellerii (green swordtail), 120 nucleotides. RefSeq lists it as uncharacterized. NCBI's taxonomy places the organism in Eukaryota, Metazoa, Chordata, Actinopteri, Cyprinodontiformes, Poeciliidae. The record is from RefSeq and is a predicted model, not a curated record. The transcript has 3 exons.
UAUAUUUUAAAAUGACCAUUUCCAGUGGGGUGGCAGUAGGGGUGGCAAGGGCUCUGUUGGGGGUGGCAAAUGCCACCCCUGCCACCCCUCUGGCUCCGCCACUGCUGGAAAUGUUCAAGU